This 992-nucleotide long non-coding RNA is filed under the name Moschus moschiferus (Siberian musk deer). RNAcentral describes it as "lncRNA (ENSMMSG00000010000.1)". The record is from RNAcentral. Lineage: Eukaryota; Metazoa; Chordata; Mammalia; Artiodactyla; Moschidae.
CCGGGGACCGAGGCAGAAGAGGAGCGCGGCAGCGGCGGGGCGAUCCCGCGAGUUCCUUCCAGUGAACACCUCCUGGGGGUGUCCGGAGGGCUGGGGGUGGGCGCCGCGGCGCCUACAUUAGCCCCGCCGGGCUGCGCCCAGGCGGCAGUCGGGUCGGAGCCGCCGCCGGACUCAGCGCCGCGCGCGCCCCGCGCUGCGCCCCGCGCCCGGCUCUGCGCGAUCAGCUCCCCGGCGUCAGAGGCGCGCCCGGCCCUCCGGCCGCUCUCCCCCGCCGGCUCGCGGGGCGCGUGGGCUCGGCGGAGGCGGAGAGGGGGAGGCUGCAGGCGGGGAGAAGAGGCGGGCCCGCGGCGGCCGGAGCCCAGAGGAGAGUGGCAUGCCCGAGCCCUGGAGGCGGAGGUGGCGAAGCCGGCCGCGGGGAGACGAUGCCGCGGCUCCGUAGGGGAGGAAGGCGACAGAGAGCCAGGCGAGCCGGGCGCCCGGGCGCCCGCCGGCUGCGGGGAAGCGCGCGCCGCUCCGAGGCUCCGGCCUCCGCACCCCAGCACCCCGACGCUGCGGGCGACAGGGCCGGGCUCCGGCAGCCGCCGCCGCCGCCGCCGCCGCCUGGAGGACGGAGCAAAAGUUUGGAUCUGGGGGAGGACGCGGCGCCGAGCGGGAUUCCUACCGGGGCCGCCUGGAGACCUCCUAAACCUUCGCAGAGCAUCACCUUUGGCAUGCCAACCCUGACUCACCUCCAUGUACCUUUCCACGGGGACCAUACCUCAGCUUGGAACAAGCCCUACGUCUAGACUGUGACCCUGGGAACCAUGGCUAUGAUGUCUCUGCUGGUCUACAAAGAUUUUUAUCAGAAAGCAUUCUAAGCACUGGCUUCCCACAACUCAUCUCGCACAUGACUCUUGGCAGAGUCAAGAAGAUAUUUUAUUGCAGAAUAUUAACACGUAAAUCAUUGCUCUGUUUAUAUCAUGCUUAUUCUGUGCUUAUAGAAUGAUUAUGCC